This 320-nucleotide ribosomal RNA is filed under the name uncultured bacterium. RNAcentral describes it as "bacterial SSU rRNA". It matches the Rfam family "Bacterial small subunit ribosomal RNA", at positions 28 to 334 of the family's 1533-position model. The record is from RNAcentral.
GACGAACGCUGGCGGCGUGCCUAAUACAUGCAAGUCGAGCGAGGUUAUAAGAAGUGCUUGCACUUUUUAUAACCUAGCGGCGGACGGGUUAGUAACACGUGGGUAACCUGCCCUACAGACUGGGAUAACUUCGGGAAACCGGAGCUAAUACCGGAUAAUUCUUUUAGCCUCAUGGCUUUAAGCUGAAAGGCGCUUCGGCGUCACUGUAGGAUGGACCCGCGGUGCAUUAGCUAGUUGGUGAGGUAACGGCUCACCAAGGCAACGAUGCAUAGCCGACCUGAGAGGGUGAUCGGCCACAUUGGGACUGAGACACGGCCCAA